Molecule: ribosomal RNA, 483 nt
Filed under: uncultured bacterium
Lineage: Bacteria
Description: bacterial SSU rRNA
Rfam family: Bacterial small subunit ribosomal RNA
Source: RNAcentral
GACGCAACGCGCUGAACCUUACCAGCCCUUGACAUGUCCAGGACCGGCACCAGAGAUGGAGCCUUCUCUUCGGAGCCUGGAGCACAGGUGCUGCAUGGCUGUCGUCAGCUCGUGUCGUGAGAUGUUGGGUUAAGUCCCGCAACGAGCGCAACCCCCGUCUUUAGUUGCUACCAUUUAGUUGAGCACUCUAAAGAGACUGCCGGUGAUAAGCCGCGAGGAAGGUGGGGAUGACGUCAAGUCCUCAUGGCCCUUACGGGCUGGGCUACACACGUGCUACAAUGGCGGUGACAAUGGGAUGCUAAGGGGCGACCCCUCNNAAAUAUCAAAAAGCCGUCUCAGUUCGGAUUGGGCUCUGCAACUCGAGCCCAUGAAGUUGGAAUCGCUAGUAAUCGUGGAUCAGCAUGCCACGGUGAAUACGUUCCCGGGCCUUGUACACACCGCCCGUCACACCAUGGGAGUUGGUUCUACCUGAAGGCAGUGCGC